AACGCGAAGGAACCUUACCUACUCUUGACAUCCAGAGAACUUUCCAGAGAUGGAUUGGUGCCUUCGGGAACUCUGAGACAGGUGCUGCAUGGCUGUCGUCAGCUCGUGUUGUGAAAUGUUGGGUUAAGUCCCGCAACGAGCGCAACCCUUAUCCUUUGUUGCCAGCGGUUAGGCCGGGAACUCAAAGGAGACUGCCAGUGAUAAACUGGAGGAAGGUGGGGAUGACGUCAAGUCAUCAUGGCCCUUACGAGUAGGGCUACACACGUGCUACAAUGGCGCAUACAAAGAGAAGCGACCUCGCGAGAGCAAGCGGACCUCAUAAAGUGCUCGUAGUCCGGAUUGGAGUCUGCAACUCGACUCCAUGAAGUCGGAAUCGCUAGUAAUCGUAGAUCAG
RNAcentral lists this ribosomal RNA (394 nucleotides) under Cedecea sp. SB55. Its description in RNAcentral is "bacterial SSU rRNA". It matches the Rfam family "Bacterial small subunit ribosomal RNA", at positions 958 to 1352 of the family's 1533-position model. Lineage: Bacteria; Pseudomonadati; Pseudomonadota; Gammaproteobacteria; Enterobacterales; Enterobacteriaceae. The record is from RNAcentral.